AGGUGCUGACGAGUGGCGAACGGGUGAGUAAUGCAUCGGAACGUGCCCAGUAGUGGGGGAUAGCCCGGCGAAAGCCGGAUUAAUACCGCAUACGACCUACGGGUGAAAGCGGGGGACCGAAAGGCCUCGCGCUAUUGGAGCGGCCGAUGUCAGAUUAGGUAGUUGGUGGGGUAAAGGCCUACCAAGCCUACGAUCUGUAGCUGGUCUGAGAGGACGACCAGCCACACUGGGACUGAGACACGGCCCAGACUCCUACGGGAGGCAGCAGUGGGGAAUUUUGGACAAUGGGCGCAAGCCUGAUCCAGCCAUGCCGCGUGCGGGAAGAAGGCCUUCGGGUUGUAAACCGCUUUUGUCAGGGAAGAAAUCUUCUGGGUUAAUACCUCGGGAGGAUGACGGUACCUGAAGAAUAAGCACCGGCUAACUACGUGCCAGCAGCCGCGGUAAUACGUAGGGUGCAAGCGUUAAUCGGAAUUACUGGGCGUAAAGCGUGCGCAGGCGGUUAUGUAAGACAGAUGUGGAAUCCCCGGGCUUAACCUGGGAACUGCAUUUGUGACUGCAUAGCUGAGUGC
RNAcentral lists this ribosomal RNA (569 nucleotides) under Rubrivivax sp. JA781. RNAcentral's name for it is "bacterial SSU rRNA". It matches the Rfam family "Bacterial small subunit ribosomal RNA", at positions 83 to 648 of the family's 1533-position model. The record is from RNAcentral. Lineage: Bacteria; Pseudomonadati; Pseudomonadota; Betaproteobacteria; Burkholderiales; Sphaerotilaceae.